RNAcentral lists this ribosomal RNA (478 nucleotides) under Blastocystis sp. Its description in RNAcentral is "SSU rRNA". It matches the Rfam family "Eukaryotic small subunit ribosomal RNA", at positions 460 to 953 of the family's 1831-position model. Lineage: Eukaryota; Bigyra; Opalinata; Blastocystidae. The record is from RNAcentral. RNAcentral also lists the same sequence under 1 other name.
GGAGGUAGUGACAAUAAAUCACAAUGCGGAACUUUUGUUUUGCAAUUGGAUUGAGAACAACGCACAACACUUAUCGAUAAACAAUUGGAGGGCAAGUCUGGUGCCAGCAGCCGCGGUAAUUCCAGCUCCAAUAGCGUAUAUUAACGUUGUUGCAGUUAAAAAGCUCGUAGUUGAAGUGAAGUAAUGAAGUUGUGACUUGAUUUAUCAUUUCGCUCCUUAAUUACUCUUUCCAAACUGUUUGCACGGGUAUUCAUUUACUUGUGUAUUGCAUUUGGUCGUUUACUGUGAGAAAAUUAGAGUGUUCAAAGCAUACGUUUGUUUGAAUACAUUAGCAUGGAAUAAUUCGAAAAGGCUUUCAUGUUCGAUUUGAUUGGUUUGUUCGUGAGAGCAAGAUUAAAAGGGACAGUUGGGGGUAUUCAUAUUCAAUAGUCAGAGGUGAAAUUCUCGGAUUUAUGGAAGAUGAACAAGUGCGAAAGCA